This 468-nucleotide ribosomal RNA is filed under the name uncultured bacterium. Its description in RNAcentral is "partial 16S ribosomal RNA". It matches the Rfam family "Bacterial small subunit ribosomal RNA", at positions 28 to 507 of the family's 1533-position model. The record is from RNAcentral.
GACGAACGCUGGCGGCGUGCUUAACACAUGCAAGUCGAACGGAAAGGCCCUGCUUUUGUGGGGUGCUCGAGUGGCGAACGGGUGAGUAACACGUGAGUAACCUGCCCUUGACUUUGGGAUAACUUCAGGAAACUGGGGCUAAUACCGGAUAGGAGCUCCUGCUGCAUGGUGGGGGUUGGAAAGUUUCGGCGGUUGGGGAUGGACUAGCGGCUUAUCAGCUUGUUGGUGGGGUAGUGGCUUACCAAGGCUUUGACGGGUAGCCGGCCUGAGAGGGUGACCGGCCACAUUGGGACUGAGAUACGGCCCAGACGCCUACGGGAGGCAGCAGUGGGGAAUAUUGCACAAUGGGCGGAAGCCUGAUGCAGCAACGCCGCGUGCGGGAUGACGGCCUUCGGGUUGUAAACCGCUUUCGCCUGUGACGAAGCGUGAGUGACGGUAAUGGGUAAAGAAGCACCGGCUAACUACGUG